GACGAACGCUGGCGGUGUGCUUCACACAUGCAAGUCGAACGGGGUAGCAAUACCUAGUGGCGGACGGGUGAGUAACGCGUGGGAAUCUGCCUUAAGAUGGGGGAUAGCAAGCCGAAAGGCUUAUUAAUACCGCAUAUGUAUUUAUCCAGACAUGGGUAUCUAUGAAAGGAGUAAUCCGUCUUAAGAUGAGCCCGCGUCCGAUUAGCUAGUUGGUAGGGUAAAAGCCUACCAAGGCGACGAUCGGUAGGUGGUCUGAGAGGAUGAUCACCCACAAUGGGACUGAGACACGGCCCAUACUCCUACGGGAGGCAGCAGUGGGGAAUUUUGUGCAAUGGGCGAAAGCCUGACACAGCGACACCGCGUGGAUGAAGAAGCCCUUUGGGGUGUAAAAUCCUGUCGGCUGGAACGAAAAAAAUGACGGUACCAGCAGAGGAAGCAUCGGCUAACUACGUGCCAGCAGCCGCGGUAAGACGUAGGAUGCGAGCGUUGUCCGGAUUUAUUGGGCGUAAAGAGUUCGUAGGCGGUUUGUUAAGUCUGAUGUUAAAGAUCUGGGCUCAACCCGGAGAGUGCAUUGGAUACUGGCA
RNAcentral lists this ribosomal RNA (584 nucleotides) under uncultured bacterium. RNAcentral describes it as "bacterial SSU rRNA". It matches the Rfam family "Bacterial small subunit ribosomal RNA", at positions 28 to 638 of the family's 1533-position model. The record is from RNAcentral.